RNAcentral lists this ribosomal RNA (1386 nucleotides) under metagenome. RNAcentral describes it as "bacterial LSU rRNA". It matches the Rfam family "Bacterial large subunit ribosomal RNA", at positions 1505 to 2925 of the family's 2925-position model. The record is from RNAcentral.
CCCGUGUACAAGCGAGGUAGGAGCCAUGUAGGAAAAUCCGCGUGGCAAUCCGAAGACGUGAUGUGGACCGAACUUUCAGUAGGGAAGUAUGUGAGCCAUGUGCCGGGAAAAGCCGCUAUUGUUCAUACCGCACCCGUACCGUAAACCGACACAGGUGGAUGAGGAGAGAAUCCUAAGGCCGACGGAAGAAGCAUUGUUAAGGAACUCGGCAAAAUAGCCCCGUAACUUCGGGAGAAGGGGUGCCUGGGAAACCAGGCCGCAGAGAAUAGGCUCAAGCAACUGUUUAGCAAAAACACAGGUCUAUGCAAAACCGAAAGGUGAGGUAUAUGGGCUGACGCCUGCCCGGUGCUGGAAGGUUAAGAGGAGAGCUUAGCGCAAGCGAAGGUUUGAAUUUAAGCCCCAGUAAACGGCGGCCGUAACAAUAACGGUCCUAAGGUAGCGAAAUUCCUUGUCGGGUAAGUUCCGACCCGCACGAAAGGCGUAAUGAUUUGAGCGCUGUCUCGACAAUGCAUCCGGUGAAAUUGAAGUACCAGUGAAGAUGCUGGUUACCUGCGCCAGGACGGAAAGACCCCAUGGAGCUUUACUCCAGCUUGACACUGGGAUUCGGUAAUGCAUGUACAGGAUAGGUGGGAGGCUAAGAAAUGAGGACGCCAGUCUUCAUGGAGCCGCUGUUGGGAUACCACCCUUGCGUUAUUGGAUUUCUAACCUGCCGCCGUUAGCCGGCGGGGGGACAAUGUCUGGCGGGGAGUUUGACUGGGGCGGUCGCCUCCGAAAGUGUAUCGGAGGCGCCCAAAGGUUCCCUCAGAAUGGUUGGAAACCAUUCGAAGAGUGCAAAGGCAGAAGGGAGCUUGACUGCGACACCGACGGGUGGAGCAGGUACGAAAGUAGGGCUUAGUGAUCCGGUGGUAUUAAGUGGGAAUGCCAUCGCUCAACGGAUAAAAGCUACCCUGGGAUAACAGGCUUAUCACUCCCAAGAGUUCACAUCGACGGAGUGGUUUGGCACCUCGAUGUCGGCUCAUCGCAUCCUGGGGCUGUAGUAGGUCCCAAGGGUUGGGCUGUUCGCCCAUUAAAGCGGUACGCGAGCUGGGUUCAGAACGUCGUGAGACAGUUCGGUCCCUAUCCGGCGCGGGCGUAGGAUAUUUGAGAGGAGCUGCCCUUAGUACGAGAGGACCGGGGUGGACUGACCUCUGGUGUACCGGUUGUCAUACCAAUGGCACGGCCGGGUAGCCAAGUCGGGCCGGGAUAAACGCUGAAGGCAUCUAAGCGUGAAGCCCCCCUCAAGAUGAGAUAUCCCAAGACCCCUUGAAGAACACGAGGUAGAUAGGACAGAGGUGGAAGUACAGUAAUGUAUGGAGCUGACUGUUACUAAUCGGUCACAAGCUUAAC